CUUUGUUUCAGCAAUCUGCCGUUUGAUUGGUCCGAGAGCUGGGGGCGGGGAUUUGGGCCGCUGCCGGGAGAAGCCGGAAUUACUUUGGAGAGCCCCGCCCCCUGGCUCCGCAGGAUCGCCCCCUUCUCAGAUGAUCUGCUGCUCACCUCAGAUACCUACAGAGACUCUGCUGGUGCCUGUCAAAGGUGCUGUCACCUCCCACUCCCACAAAAAGUGCCGCUGCUCUCUCUCAUCUGCUGAAGGUAGCACUGCUGGAAGUCUUGUAUGGAAGUGGAAGAUCUGAUGUCUUUGCUGAAUGUAUUAGCACCUCUGGUUGGCAAGGUUGCUAGUGUUCCACUCUGCUGAUGCAGGCACUGGUGGUGGCAUUGAUGUGAUAAAGACUUCAAAGCACCAAUAGGUUCUCUACUGAAGUGGAAAGGAUCUUUUUAUGUCUUUUGUCUUAUAUUUCUACCUGGGCUCCAAAGUCAUGCUUCCUGGUGUUGCCAGUGAGCAGGGAGAAUUUAGUGAAGAAGCUUUUUGCAGAGAUGACUAGCUGUCUGCUAAAAUUCCAUUAUGUAGAAUAAGUGCCAAGAAGUAGCCACACACACAUUAAAAAAAAAUUCUGAGCCCCUGUACCCCACCUUUGCAUUUAGUGGAGUCAUAGGACUAGCUCACACCCAUGUGAACAGAGCUGAUGUGUCUCAUUUCUGGGCCAAGGAGUUUAAGAAGUGGGGUUUGUCUCCUUUACAUUCUCUUUUUCCUCUUCUGCCAGCUCUAAUACCUCAAGGAAUGUCAGAAUAUGGGACAGAAGGAGCCAGGACAUCCACCUUGCACUGUUCUGGGAGGAAGAAAUACAUUUUCUGGCCUGCGCAGGGUGGCUCACGCCUGUAAUCCCAGGACUUUGGGAGGCUGAGGUGGGCAGAUUGCCUGAGCUCAGGAGUUUGUGACCAGCCUUGGCAACACAAGGAAACCCCAUCUCUACUAAAAUACAAAAAAUUAGCCAAGUGUGGCAGCGCGAGCCUGUAAUCCCAGCUACUUGGGAGGCUGAGGCAGGAGAAUUGCUUGAACCCAGGAGGCAGAGGUUGCAGUGAGCUGAGAUCAUGCCACUGCACUUCAGCCUGGGCGACAGAGUAAGAAUCUGUCUCAAAAAAAAAAAAAGAAGAAAUACAUUUUCUGUAUACUUAAAAAUAAUUAAAAUGAGGAGAUCGAGACCAUCCCGGCUAAAACGGUGAAACCCCGUCUCUACUAAAAAUACAAAAAAUUAGCCGG
This 1248-nucleotide long non-coding RNA is filed under the name Homo sapiens (human). RNAcentral's name for it is "HSALNT0089840". Lineage: Eukaryota; Metazoa; Chordata; Mammalia; Primates; Hominidae. The record is from RNAcentral.